Molecule: long non-coding RNA, 1041 nt
Organism: Ictalurus punctatus (channel catfish)
Lineage: Eukaryota; Metazoa; Chordata; Actinopteri; Siluriformes; Ictaluridae
Source: Ensembl
UGUGAUUAUAGUGAGUGUGUGUUAGUGUGUGAUUAUAGUGAGUGUGUGUUAGUGUGUGAAUUAUAGUGAGUGUGUGUUAGUGUGUGAUUAUAGUGAGUGUGUGUUAGUGUGUGAUAUAGUGAGUGUGUGUUAGUGUGUGAUUAUAGUGAGUGUGUGUUAGUGUGUGAUUGUAGUGAGUGUGUGUUAGUGUGUGAUUAUAGUGAGUGUGUGUUAGUGUUUGAUUAUAGUGAGUGUGUUAGUGUGUGAUUAUAGUGAGUGUGGUUAGUGUUGUGUGUUAGUGUGUGAUUAUAGUGAGUGUGUUAGUGUGUGAUUAUAGUGAGUGUGUUAGUGUGUGAUUAUAGUGAGUGUGUUAGUGUGUGAUUAUAGUGAGUGUGUUAGUGUGUGAUUAUAGUGAGUGUGUGUUAGUGUGUGAUUAUAGUGAGUGUGUUAGUGUGUGAUUAUAGUGAGUGUGUGUUAGUGUGUGAUUGUAGUGAGUGUGUGUUAGUGUGUGAUUAUAGUGAGUGUGUGUUAGUGUGUGAUUAUAGUGAGUGUGUGUUAGUGUGUGAUUAUAGUGAGUGUGUUAGUGUGUGAUUAUAGUGAGUGUGUGUUAGUGUGUGAUUAUAAUGAGUGUGUUAGUGUGUGAUUAUAGUGAGUGUGUGUUAGUGUGUGAUUAUAGUGAGUGUGUGUUAGUGUGUGAUUAUAGUGAGUGGUUAGUGUGUGAUUAUAGUGAGUGUGUGUUAGUGUGUGAUUAUAGUGAGUGUGUGUUAGUGUGUGAUUAUAGUGAGUGUGUUAGUGUGUGAUUUAUAGUGAGUGUGUUAAUGUGUGAUUAUAGUGAGUGUGUGUUAGUGUGUGAUUAUAGUGAGUGUGUUAGUGUGUGAUUAUAGUGAGUGUGUUAGUGUGUGAUUAUAGUGAGUGUGUGUUAGUGUGUGAUUAUAGUGAGUGUGUGUUAGUGUGUGAUUUAUAGUGAGUGUGUUAGUGUGUGAUUAUAGUGAGUGUGUUAGUGUGUGAUUAUAGUGAGUGUGUGUUAGUGUGUGAUUAUAGUGAGUGUGUGUUUAGUGUGUG